UGGGCUCGUAGCUCAGUUGGAAGAGUGCCGCCUUCGCGAGGCGGAGGCCACGGGUUCAAAUCCCGUCGGGUCCAU
Molecule: transfer RNA, 75 nt
Filed under: Candidatus Methanolliviera sp. GoM_asphalt
Lineage: Archaea; Methanobacteriati; Methanobacteriota; Candidatus Methanoliparia; Candidatus Methanoliparales; Candidatus Methanollivieraceae
Description: tRNA-Ala
Rfam family: tRNA
About the family: Transfer RNA (tRNA) molecules are approximately 80 nucleotides in length.
Source: RNAcentral